AUUAUUAUUACAAGCUUUUAUUUACUUUCACCUGUCCCGUUCUCUGUCUGUCUGUAAUCAAAUCUUGCAAGUUAAAUUUGAUCCACUUCCCGGUUUCCGAUUGAGCUGAAAUUUUGCAUGUACCAUCGAGCUGAUCUGAUGAUGGAGACAGGAGGUGGCCAUAGGAACUCUGUGAUGAAACAACGCAACCUAAUUGUGUUA
Cydia amplana is the source of this 201-nucleotide long non-coding RNA. RefSeq lists it as uncharacterized. Lineage: Eukaryota; Metazoa; Arthropoda; Insecta; Lepidoptera; Tortricidae. The record is from RefSeq and is a predicted model, not a curated record. The transcript has 2 exons.